This is a long non-coding RNA of Gorilla gorilla gorilla (western lowland gorilla), 5120 nucleotides long. RefSeq lists it as uncharacterized. NCBI's taxonomy places the organism in Eukaryota, Metazoa, Chordata, Mammalia, Primates, Hominidae. The record is from RefSeq and is a predicted model, not a curated record. The transcript is spliced from 9 exons.
GGCAAUCAGCUGGGGUCCACCUCCACGUGUGGGAGCUUUGUUCUUUUGCUCUUCACAGUGAAGCUUGCUGCUGCUCUCCCUUUGGGUCCACAUUACCUUUAUGAGCUGUAACACUCACUGUCAAGGUCUGCAGCUUCACUCUUGAAGUCAGCGAGACCAUGAACCCCCUGGAAGGAAGAAACUCCAGACACAUCCGAACACCUGAAGGAACAAAUUCCGGACACACCAUAUUUAAGAACUGUAACACUCAUCGAGAGGGUCCGCGGCUUCAUUCUUGAAGUCAGCGAGACAAAGAACCCACUGGAAGGAACCAAUUUUGGACACAAAAGGAUAUCAGGAAAAGUGCAGAGUGUGGUACAAAAUGCAGGAGGAAAGGUGAACCGAGGAAGAAGAUCAUUGAGACAUUGACAGUGACACUGUCAGGGAAACCAAGAGCCAAGGAACCCACGACUAUUGAGGUCAAACAUAAAACAACAGUAGGAUCAGGAGUGCACAGUCACCAGGAGAGAUUCUGGAGAUAGGGGAAAAGUUUAGAAACAAAAUCCAUGAUUCAACUUAUAGCUAUGAAGGAGGCUAUUCUGCACCUGAGGUAUGUUCCAGGUUGAAUGGCUCUCCUUCAAGUGGACUCCUUUUAUCCUGUGGCUCCAUCUUCUUUGGGGAAAUCUCCCAGUGCCAAUCUCUGAAAAGCUGUAAGACUCUGAAACAGAUCUCCCCAGAAAUCCCACCUGGAAGGACAGUAAGUAGACCUUUGACCUUUAAGAAGUAUAUGCCCUAAGAUUUCUACAGAUCCUGAAAUUCAUCACUACGGCAGAAUCACGCAUCUUAUGCCCUUUGAAAAUGCCAUCCAUCCUCUUCUGACCUAUAAUGUUUCUGCUGGAAAGUCUGCCGUUAGUCUGAUGGAAUUUCCUUUAAAGCGUUAAGAAGACGUUUUGAUCACAAUGUCUUCUGUCAAGAAAAGCCAAGGGCUUCUUCCAUGGAUUUUCACCGAAGUCUCAUGUAAACAGAAGUGGUCUUGGGAGGAGGGAAACAAACAAACAAACAAAUAAAACCCAGAAAAGAAGAAAUCAACUUCAGAAAUGUCUUUCAGACAUUUACCAAUAAAUAUUUACUGAAAACCUAUUGUGCGGCAAGCCUGGUACUGGCUUCAUAUGACAAAGUAUUAAACUAAACAGAUACUCAUAGAGCUAACAGCCUAAUACUUGAAAAAGAUAUUUUUUAAAUGACUCCACACGUAAAUAUAUAAUUACCACCAUGAUGCUUCCAUGAAGAAAAACUGCAACAUUCUGUGAUGAUGAAAUUUUCAAUAAAAAUUGCAAGAAUAUGACAAAACCCUUAGGAGACAGUAAAAAGGCCACUUGAAGCAUUCUUUGACAGACUUUUACAAACACAAGCAAGGUCAUGUUUCCAGGGUUUUUCAAUUUCUAAAAAAUUGGUAAUUAAAAACAGAAAACAUCUAGGGUAAUUUAAAAAGAAUGUUAAAGAUGUAAUUUAUGAUUUAAAUUUCUAAAAUUUCUAAGAAAUGAGAAAAAUCUGUCAUUCAUAUGUCAGCUUUUAUACCAAGAAAUGAUAUGUCUAAUGUUGACUACUACAGAAGAGUCUGAUAUGCAGAAACAGAGCCAUGGAUUGUCUCGAACUUGAUGAUACAAUGAGGAUUCAGACAAGAACUGGAGCAAAUACAUCUCAAAUCCAGUACAGGGUUACACUAAUUUCUUGGAGAGAAGGAAAUUAUCAUCAAAAUAACAUGAUAGGGAUAUGUUUAUAUUUUAUGUCAUAGUUUGACAUUUCAUGUACAUUUAUAAAUACAUGUAUGCUACAUAUAUUACAUAUUAAACAUACUGCUUAGCCUAAGUCUAUAAUAUGCUGUAUUGUUAUAAGAUAGGCUAUGUUACUGUAACAAACAAUUCCGGAGUCUAACUCGUUGAAAACACACUUAUGCAACGUGUUUAUUUUGGUUCAGGGAGCCUUAGUUCCAUGUUGUCCUCACUUAAGAACUCACAAUGAUGGAGGCUCCACAGGCUGAAAUUUUUCUGAUGGCCGUGGUAGUGGGAAGGCUGAUGACAAAUCCCUCACUGUUUCGCAAAUAUUUCCAUUUAGAUGUUCACAGCAUUUCAUUUGCUAGAGCAAUUUAUGUUCACUCAAAUUUCAUUGAUUAAAACAAGUGAUAUGACCAUUACUGGACUAAUCCUUCCCUUUGCCCAAAAAUAGAGGCACCAGCUCUUUUUUUUUCUACUUCAUAAAACACAUAUGGAAUAUUUAAUAUACAUAACAUCAUAUACAACAUGAGCAUAUUCUAUUUUAUCAUCUGUUUCAUGUUAUUAGAUAUUAAUACCUGCACUAGGUUCACCUGAGAUCUAUGAUUAAGCUAUUGAUGCUUAAAUCAGUCAAAUACCAUAAAGAGCCUUUGCCUUCCACCUGUUUCAUAAGUGGUAUCUAAACAGGUGAACAUUGCUCACUUCUAUGUGAACACAUAAGGCCUUAUGCCUACUAAGUAGAAAUGGAAAUAUUGAAGACAUUUUUGAAAGAGUGGAAUGGUUCCCAAAAACUCCAUUCAUGCCAGUCACUGGGACGUGACAUAUUGUGAGUUUGCAAGAUGGAGUUACUGAUUGAGAGUCUGCCAUUACAGAAAUCUACAAGAGCAGAAUUGGAUGUGAGGUUAAGCCAAACCAAUGAAGUCUGAUUAACAUUAACUCAAUCUGUGUUCAUUAAAAAUGGUGGUUUCCCUAAAAAUAGUAUGUUAUGAAGGUAUUAAUCAAUGGUCAGUCAGAAACAAAUAUUUUCUCAAUGUGUUUUACAAAGAAUAAAGCAUUUUAGCUUUCAUUUGCAAGGAGUUAAAAAUUCUUUUCAUAGAGGACUUCUUUCAUGUAUACAAAGUAUUUUUGCUUAUAAAUCUGUAUUUUAAAGAUUACAUAUUGUGCCCAAUAGCUCUUGCCCCCUUCUUCUUCAAAGCACACAUAAACAAUACUGGUCCUAGGAAAUGACAAAAGGCAUCAUUUUAAUACUACAGCAUAAAUAUUGAAACAAUAGCUAGCUAAAUGAGCACUUCAAAGAGAGUCUGAAAAUUCAUAUUUUUAUAUAGUAAUGUGUUUUUCUGUCAUUGCAAGAUAUAACCCAUGAAUACAUUUUUAUUGUUCUCUAUUCCUUGUCCUCCCUCUGUUUCCAGAGCUAUUUGUAAAGCAACUAGUAUCUUAUAGCACAGAAGAAACCACAGUGUAGGAGCGUUCAUUGUUACCUAAUUAGAGUUAGGCAUCUUUUCACUGUAUUUCCCUAACCAGCUAAAAAAGUUACCUGCCUGUCUGAUCUUAUGACUCAUAAAAUCCCUUUCAUACACAUUAAAAUUUUUAUUGUGGUAAAACACACAUAACAUAAAAUUUACCAUCUUAACCAUUUUAAAGGAUAAAUUCAGAGACAUCAAAAAAUUUACAAUGUUGUGAAACCAUCAUUCCUAUUCGUUUCAUAUUUUUUUAUUGUGAAAGGAAGCCCCAUAUCCAUGAAGCAGUCACUCCCAUGCCUCCUACCCCCAGUCCCUGGCAACCACUGAUCUUUCUGUCUCCAUCAAUUUGCCUAUUCUGGAUAUUUCACAUAAAUGGAAUGAUAUAAUAUGUGGCCUCUUGUGUCUGGCUUCUUUCAGUUACCAUACUGUUUUCAAGGUUUUUCAAUGUAGAUAUAUCAGAAACUCAUUCUUUUUAUGGCUGAAUAGUAUAUCAAAUUUUGUUUAUCCAUUCAUUGCUAAUGGACUUUUGGGUUGUUUCCACUUUUGGUAAUUAUAAAUAGUGCUGCUGUGAACAUUUAUGUAAAACUUGUUUGAACACCUGUAUUUAAUGAUUUGGGGUAUAACCUAGGAGUGAGACCGUUUAAUCAUAAGGUAAUUCUGUUUAACUUUUUGAGGAACUACCAAACUGUUUUUCACAGCACAUGCACAAUUUUAUAUUCCACCAACAAUAUUUGAGGAUUUCAGUUUCUCCACAUCCUAACCAACACUCAUUUUUCUUUUUUUUUUUAGUCUAGUCAUCCCAGCAAGAGUGAAGUGGCCUCUCCUGUGGUUUUGAUUUGCAUUUCUCUAAUGACUAUGUUGAACAUCUUUUCAUGUCCUUGUUAGCCAUUUGUAUAUCUUCUUUGGAGAAAUGUCUGUUAAAGUAUUCUGCUCAUUUUUUCCCUUCAGUUGUUUGUCUUUUUGUUAUUGAGUUGUCAGAGUUCUUUAUAUAAUCUGGAUAGUAGACAUUUUUUGGAUAUAUGAUUUGAAAAUAUUUUCUGUCAUUCUAUAGGUAGUCUUUUCACUCCCUUGAUGCAUGAAAGUUUUAAUUUGAUAAAGUACAAUUGAUGUACAAAAGUUUUAAUUUGAUAAAGUACAAUUAAUUUUUUAUUUCGUUGCUUCUACUUUUUGUGUCAUAUCUAAGAAACAAUUGCUGAAUACAAGGUUAUGAAUAUUUCCCCCUAAGUUUUUUUCUAAGACUUUUAUAGUUUUAGCUUUUAUAUUUAUGUCUCGUAUCCAUUUUGAGGUAAGGGCUCAACUUUAUUUUUUUGCGUAUGGAUACCCCGUUGUCUCAGCAUCAUUUGUGGAAGACACUAUUCUUUCGCCAUUGAAUGCUUUUGGAACACUGGUCAAAAGUUAAACAUGAAUUGGCCAAAGAUAAAUGGGCUGAUUUCUAGAUUCUCAAUUCUAUUCUAUUGAUCUAUAUGUCUAGCCUUAUAUCAUUAUCACACUUUUGAUUGCUAAAGGCUUUGUUGUAAGUUUUGAAAAAGCAAAGUGGGAGUUCACCAACUCUGUUCAAGAUGAUUUUGGUUUUGGGGGGGUUUCUUAAAAUUCCAUAAAAAUUUUAAGACCAGCUUUUCUAUACCUGCAGAAAAGCCCAUUGAAAUUUUGAUAGUUAUUGCAUUAAAUCUAUAGAUUGAUUCAAGUAUUGUCCUCUUAAAAAUACUAAGUCUUUCAAUCUAUCAACAUAAAAUGCUUUUUCCAUCACUUUCAUUUUUGUUACAUCAAAGAAGUUUAUUUUCAAAAUAUUUCAAGAACUGAUAGUAUUAUUUCUUACACAGGACAAUGUUAGAUAUUUUGUUUUUUUAUAUUUUAUUAGCAUGUAAGUAUAUAAUAAAUACAUAAAACAUAAUAAAAUUUCUACCGAGAC